GAUCAUCUUUAACCUCUGCCGUUGAGCUCUCGUGGCCAUCGAUCUCUUUCCCCUGCGCGCGAAGCUCAAUCCCUUCCUCCGCGCCGCCCCUGCGUACUCGUCUCUGGCGCUGUUCAGCUCAAAAAAAUCUCUCAGCCGCUCAUCCCUAUCUGUUCAGCCAGCACAAGAUUUUCCUGUGUCAGUCGUUCUCAUCCUCUCCGCAGCCACUGUACCUGACUGCGUGAUAUUUUUGCCGCCGCCCUGUUCAUUUUAUAUGCGUGCAGCUCGCCGGCCGUACGCUCGCCGGAGCCCUUCCCCUGCUCGGCCUCUGAGGUUUCCCAGUAGCGGCUCCUAGCAUCUUCUCCGCGCGCAGCUUGCUUCCUCCCUCUGCCGCUCGUCUCCAUCUCUCCAUCUCCCAGCAGACCGCGCCCAGCUCCAGCCAUGAGCGCCGACGUCCUCUCUCUGUGCUUGAUCUCCCAGUCCUCCGCUCCCUGAAACCUUCACCCACAUGUUUGUGAAGGUCCGGUAGUGGAGAUCUUGCGAGGUCCACUGCUCUGCGCUCCUAUUCCACCUGUCUCAUCCCCUCAUCAUGCUCGACACUUGCUCCCUGGCAGCAUGCCGUAGCAGCAUCUGUGCUUGGUCCAUGCUCCACUGUGCCGUGCUGUUUCUCUGCACGCGUCAAGCUCACGCGCUGAAUCCAGCCCCAUGUUGACGCGUUCAUGUUCCAACUUGUCGUGCCGCGUCGUCAUCACUUUCUGUCACGAGCUCGAUUCCCGUUGUCAUCGGGCUUUGUGCGUGCUCGCGUUUGCCGUCGAGUCGUUGAACCCGUCAUCCCCUGCUCAACCCUACCCCGCCAGCUCGCUCCAGAUACAAUCUCGUUAUCGUCCCGCGCGUCAUCAAGAAUCCCAAGAAUCGGGUGAAGACGAAGCUAGCAGCGCGAUAUUCCCCAAGCGCUCGACAAUUGCCUGGAUCGGAAAAUCACUACCGAUCUCGAGGAUUCGAGUCGGCUAUUGAAACGGUACGUUAAUUAAUCGCGUGAUGCGGAAGACGAGCCAAGUCGACCCCAAGCGUGGGCUUCUUCGCAAGGCGAUGCUGAUGGACAAACCUGAAGAUGGUCGUCAAGUGCUCAUCGACUAACAACACUAACCUAGUGUUACUCAG
Molecule: long non-coding RNA, 1140 nt
Organism: Zea mays
Lineage: Eukaryota; Viridiplantae; Streptophyta; Magnoliopsida; Poales; Poaceae
Exons: 2
Source: RefSeq, marked validated